UUCCUCUCCCUCUGGCGGAUCCCUGACCACGGUGCACAGACCUUCGGGCGGACCGUUGGGCGAUGUGGUUCUUGGCUUGCAGGCUGAGGUGCAUGCGACAGGGUCCUUCACCUCGAGCCGGGCAGAGCGCGGAUUAUCCGCAGUUGAUUGACUCGAGGCCGAGUCGGGUGGCUAGCUGGAAUAAGGUAGAUAGAACCUUGAGGGCUAGUGGUAAAUGUGUAAACCUAAGGUAAUAGAGAUCUUAGAGUUGGAUGAUAUGAACUAGAGUUAGCGAGAUCGAUUGUAGAAUCAAUAAUUCUACUAGUUGUUGCAUAUAUUCAUGUUGCAUAUAUUCCUGCUGCAUAUAGCAUGACAUCAUUGCAGUUGUGAGGCAAAGCAAGGUAAAGUUAGUUGCAUGUUUAUGAUAUACAUAUCUAUCUGUUUAUUGGACUAACUUGUAUUUGCCUCCCUUGGACCUGUUGGUCGAGCUCCUCCUGUCACACCCCGAAACUGAUACCAAUUUGGUCCAGUUCGGGCGCGUCGAACAGACGCCGGACGGACAGCACCUCCCCUGUCCGUCCAAGGCUAACAAAGAGAUUGUGUACAACAAGUCCCCAGGAAAAAUAACUUGAAUACAUACACAAUCGAUAACUACAACGAGAGCACAAUCAGUGCAAAACAACUAAGAGCAAGAUACAAGUAUAAGAUAUACAAGUAAUGAUAAAGAGAGAACAUCUAUCUAUUACAUUCA
Molecule: long non-coding RNA, 730 nt
Filed under: Ananas comosus (pineapple)
Lineage: Eukaryota; Viridiplantae; Streptophyta; Magnoliopsida; Poales; Bromeliaceae
Description: long non-coding RNA (ACOM_LNC037163)
Source: RNAcentral